UCGACGAAGGAAAGAUGAUAAAUUUUGGGCAUAACCAAUUCUUCAGGCACUUUGAUUAGACUGCUGUUCGCGAAGGAAGUGUUCAGACUAUGGAUUCGAGGACGAAAGACGGUUGAGAGUAGCAUAUGUAUUAUAUGUACUGAAAAUGGAAGGUAGAAGUAUUUCAAGCAUACUGCCUUGAGAACAACAGUACACAAGGGGUUUUAUUUUCGCCGAAAAGGUGAAUGAUUUGGUAUUUCAAACGGAAGAGAACAAAAAAAAUUACUGCUCAUGUCACUCAAGAGAUCUUGACUAUCCAGUUGUCCAGACUACCAUAGCAUGGCUUUUGGAAACCAAGAAAAUGUUUUGUUCAAGGUUAAGCACAGCCAAUAUGCAACUGCUCUGUCCGAAGCCGAUGGAGCUUAAUUUAUAUCAAAAGGCAUCAGGAACCCACCAUUGCCGGCAUCAGCUUCAGAGAUUGUCCAAUGCAGUAAGACGCAAGCUAAGCAGACUUCAUCCCAAUAAUCUGUAAUAACGGUUACGUCAAGUGUCCUGUCAAUCCAACUAAGAUGUGUGGAGAAUAGUAAUCCAGGUGCGGAUUAUAUGUUGUAUUACUUCAGCAGUUCAAAGCAAUAAGGCCUCGGUUGCAUGGAGAAUCUCGGAAUGUUUGAGGCAACAUAGAUAUUAUACUAGCACUGGCUAUGAUUGUCUAUAGAAUAAAGGAGCAACCAGUAACGGACCUUUUUUAGGGCUGCCGUGUCAUGCUGUAAACAUACGACGGAACAGCUCGAGGCAUAGAAAAAUUCAGCCCAUCCCAUGAUGAACCGCUUCAUCAUCAAAAGGGGCAUCCAAAGUGGAGAGCGGAACAAAAACUUAGACCUCGUCGGAAAUGGAUGUACAAGCUGUGCAAUUUCAGGGACAUUAUCCAACAUUGGCUAACGUGACGAUAAUCAGGCUACAAAAACUCACGUAGCCGUCUGGCAAUAAAAUCGUCCAAAUCUGCGUCCCUGCCAAUGAACAAGAUUAUCAGAAACACCGCCAUGGUAUGUGCUUACAAAUAGUUUUCCUUUUUCAGUUAUGUCAUGCAGUUGUGAUUGCAAGGUGGCUUGAUUGAUUUGUCCCGUCAUACGUAAUGCCAAAUUAUUUGUGGAAUGUAGUCUUUUGAUAGGAGUGCGUGACAUAAAUCUCGAUCUAAAAGGGGCGUUUCCAUUCAGGUAACAAGC
Long non-coding RNA from Daphnia carinata, 1202 nucleotides. RefSeq lists it as uncharacterized. Lineage: Eukaryota; Metazoa; Arthropoda; Branchiopoda; Diplostraca; Daphniidae. The record is from RefSeq and is a predicted model, not a curated record. The transcript has 6 exons.